This 25-nucleotide unclassified non-coding RNA is filed under the name Mus musculus (house mouse). RNAcentral describes it as "oocyte_clustered_small_RNA9279". Lineage: Eukaryota; Metazoa; Chordata; Mammalia; Rodentia; Muridae. The record is from RNAcentral.
UGAUUAACAAGAUACCAGAAGCCGG